This 1342-nucleotide long non-coding RNA is filed under the name Ursus americanus (American black bear). Its description in RNAcentral is "lncRNA (ENSUAMG00000012427.1)". Lineage: Eukaryota; Metazoa; Chordata; Mammalia; Carnivora; Ursidae. The record is from RNAcentral.
GUUUGGCUCCUCGCUAGGGCGCUUUGCAGAGAGAGCGGGGAGCCACUGCUGGCGCCGCGAGAGGGAAACAUGGUGGGAGGAGUGAUUCAUCAUAUUUACUUUCAGGCGUUCGUCUUGUAACAAGAUUAAUUCAGUAGGACUCAACUUCCAGAGAAAAAUGGACCGUUUAUUGUUUCAGAUUCAGGCUUAGGCACAGCAGGUGGAUUUUCCAAAUUGCCUCAUCUGACAUUUCCUAGAAGUAUACGCUCACAUUAUUCCAUUUUUUGGCAACUGUAAAGUUCUAUUUGAACAUUCUACGAGUCGGUUGGCAGGGCUGGGAAUUUCGAGCACUUAACUAUCACUCGAGCUUGAGCUUGGUUUUGUCAAGUGAUUUUUAACCGUGAGACGGUCCUUUUUUAGAUCUGGAAAUCAUCGCAGAAAAUGUAAGUCAUUCGCCAAAGGUCACUGAAUAAUAUACAGAUUAGAGCUGGGAACUGAUGAAUAUUGAUCGGAAUCCAGUUCUCUUACAUCUCGGAGUCACUUGCAGCAAGUGACUGUAACUCGUGAUGCGUAGAACUCUGUUUAGCACAUGGAGUCAGUGCAGAUUUUUGAGAUGCGUCUUCUCCUGGCUUUUCCCCCUGGGACUUUGAGGGCUAGCUUAUUGUGAUGUCUGCUCUUACCCAAAGUGAGAAUGGAAAGCUGUAAAUCGUAUACUCUUCUUCUAGAAGCAAACUUUCCUGCUGUGUUGGGCAGACCCAACAGGCAGAUCCACUUUGCCAGCAGUAAUACUGCAGUCCAGAUCCUGAUGAACCUCUAGGAAAAAAAGAAGCUGCUUCUGUCAGACACAGAUCCUGAGGUUGUGUCAGAUGUAAGAGAGGACUCGUUUCCUGGUUCCACCUAGAACACCGGCUCUGUCUGCACACGGUGUCCCUUGCCCAAGGCUGGAGAAGCAGCGAGGAGCCUUCACAGAUAUGGGAGUGAUAUAUCCCUGGCCAUUGUCAGAUCCCUUGGACAUCCUCCUCCUGUGCACAUGAGUGGAUCUGGGGAUAGUCUGUGAGCAUCUUUCUUCCUGUUUUUAUAAAGUGUUCUCUGUUUUCUACUGAAUCUUCAAACACAGCUUGGGUCUUAUCAUUGGCUGUAUCAAGGAUAGUGUUUUCCUGCUUCUGAAGAGCUUAAAAAACAGGGGUGCCUGGGUGGUUCACUCGGUUAAGUGUCUGCCUUCGGCUCAGGUCAUGGUCCCAGAGUCCUGGAAUCGAGUCCCACAUCAGGCUCCUUGCUCAGCUGGAAGCCUGCUUCUCCCUCUUCCACUGCCCCUGCUUGUGUUCCUCUCUUGCUGUGUCUCUGUCAAAUAAAUAAAUUCUUA